This 253-nucleotide ribosomal RNA is filed under the name uncultured bacterium. Its description in RNAcentral is "partial 16S ribosomal RNA". It matches the Rfam family "Bacterial small subunit ribosomal RNA", at positions 524 to 776 of the family's 1533-position model. The record is from RNAcentral.
UACGUAGGGGGCAAGCGUUGUCCGGAUUUAUUGGGCGUAAAGAGCGUGUAGGCGGCCAUACAGGUCAGCUGUGAAAACUCGAGGCUCAACCUCGAGACGUCGGUUGAAACCGUAUGGCUAGAGUCCGGAAGAGGAGAGUGGAAUUCCCGGUGUAGCGGUGAAAUGCGCAGAUAUCAGGAGGAACACCGGUGGCGAAGGCGGGUCUCUGGGCAAUAACUGACGCUGAGGAGCGAAAGCGUGGGGAGCGAACAGG